Molecule: non-coding RNA, 230 nt
Filed under: Staphylococcus epidermidis RP62A
Lineage: Bacteria; Bacillati; Bacillota; Bacilli; Caryophanales; Staphylococcaceae
Description: Staphylococcus sRNA 35 (srn_0335)
Rfam family: Staphylococcus sRNA 35 (srn_0335)
About the family: Other name: Srn_0335, SAOUHSCs258. Northern blot transcript confirmed in exponentially growing and stationary cells in three cultivation media.
Source: Rfam by way of RNAcentral
AAAUUCUCUAUGUUGGGGCCCCGAACCCCAACUUGCUUUGUCUGUAGAAUUUUUGUUUGAAAUUCUCUAUGUUGGGGCCCCGAACCCCAACUUGCUUUGUCUGUAGAAUUUCUGUUUGAAAUUUUCUAUGUUGGGGCCCUGAACCCAAACUUGCCUUGUCUGUAGAAUUUUUGUUUGAAAUUCUGGGUUUAGACAAUUGUUGAAAUAACUUGAUAGAAGUAUGUUUUUAA